This is a long non-coding RNA of Arachis stenosperma, 2010 nucleotides long. RefSeq lists it as uncharacterized. NCBI's taxonomy places the organism in Eukaryota, Viridiplantae, Streptophyta, Magnoliopsida, Fabales, Fabaceae. The record is from RefSeq and is a predicted model, not a curated record. The transcript is spliced from 6 exons.
UACAGUAUAUGAAAUUAUUCUUGUCUACUCUUAUUAUUAAGAGUAUCACUUUUCGUUCUAGGAUUUUUGAGUUUUUCGCUAUGCAUUUCUCUCAUUCUGCGUCGAACUGCCAUCACUCACGGCACCUCUUCUUCGUCGCUUCACCCAAUCUCCUCGCGUAGAAGUGCCGACUCUUCAAUUUUCCACCACCGCCACCUUCUCCUCCUCUUCACACCACGUGCUACACUGAACUACUCAAUUGAUGUUCUUCGUUGUCGCCUCCUCCUCACUCUGCAUUCUCUGAUGCUGGUUCUUGCCACAAUCUCCAUCUUCGUUGCUGCCUCUACCACAAACUUUGAUCUCUGGAAUCGAAAUGCAUGUGGAUGUGCUUCAAUAUUUGCUGAUUAACUUGAUAUCUGGCAGAAUCCAUUGCAAUUAGUAUGAUUUUCUGGUCUGUUAGUGCAUUAGAUUCUCUUGAUUAAUAGGUUUGAUAGAAGUAUCCUGAUUCAUGGUGAUUCUUCAACGGUUGAACUCAAUAAUUCCAAUAUGGUAAAAUUCUAGUUUUCGUCUAGUUUUUGUCUUUUAUUAUUUCUCUCAAGACACGAGUUCCAGCACUAAGCACUAACCAAAGCGGAGUAUUCGAAUUCCUCUUUUCAUAGACAUCAAGAAUGGCCAGAAAUUCUUGUGUCUACUACUCUGGCUAAUAACAUAUAAUUUGAAUUGUUACAUUUUAUAGUUUUGAGUAAUUAAUAACUCAUUUGAAAGAUACUAGUGUUUUGGAUGAAUGAAUGAAUAUUGGAUGCUUCAGUUACAAGCAUAUAGUAUGGAUUAUUUGAUUUUAUAAUAUGAAUGAAAAUUGAUGGUCCACCAUCCUUACAAGAGACAUGAAUGUACUACUGUUUAUUAACUCCAUUCUCACACAAAUCAGUGACAAGUAGCCAAAAUGAACCUUCCCUACUUUAAUUUCACCCCUUCCAAUUCCAAGCACUACAUUUACAUUAUUUACUAUGAUAUUAAAUAAUUAAUUAGUAUAAGGAGCCUCAUUGACUUAGACUUAUUUUGAUGGGUCUAUACUCCAUAGUUCAUGGUCUUCUUAUAUUAUUUAUUUCAACUCCUUUUCUUAGCAGCCACUUUCAUUUUCUUUCCCUUCACUUCCUUCAUUCAUUCACACAUACUUGAAGAAUAAUAAUGGGAAGACCCCUUACUGUUACAAGCAGAAGCUUCGGAAGGGUCUAUGAUCUCCUAAAGAGGAUGAAAAGCUUCUCAGGCAUAUCACUAAGUACGGUCAUGGAUGUUGGAGCUCUGUUCCUAAGCAAGCUGGUUUGCAGAGGUGUGGUAAAAGUUGCAGUCUUGGAGGCAAGAAUUGCUUUCGAGACUUGAGAGUUAGGCUUCAAAAUUACCAAAAUCAAUUUUACCACCUCCCCACUAUGUUCUGAUUUUGUGAUAGUUUUGAGUUCAAUUUGGUGACUUGUUAACAUUCGCUUCCAUUUAAAUAAUUUGGUUGCUUUUCCAGUGGAACCAUGAGAUAAAUCUGUUGAAAUUAUGAGGAAGUUCUCAGAGCUUAAUGCCCGUAGGUCAGGAACAUAUUUUUGUGUUGAUAAGGGAGUCACCUCUGUUGCUAUCAAGGAAGAGGUCAUAUUGGAGCAUCCAUGAAAGCAAAACUUUAUAACCUGCUGGAGCAUAGAGCUUAAGAAUGCCGAUAUAUUGUCAUUCCUGUUUGGAGAGGAAGUGGUUAUACGACAAUGUUUGUUGAAGGAAUGGGACACCGAGGCAACCGUUACUUGUACCACUUGCUAGAGCCUGUUUGGUUUUUAAUGCCACUCGUGUUCUGCCAGCAUAUCUUGAGGGUCUAGCUGAAUAUUCUCACUGCUAGGGUUUAUAUGUAUUUCAUUUAAAUACAGAUCUUGAGAAACUAUGGAAGCUUGUAGUAUUUUUUUGUUAUUUAGAUUUGUAACAUGGUUUAUUACUUUUUAAGAGAAAUUUAUGUAUCAGUAUUGAGUUUAAUGAAAUAUCUCAUUUUGUAGUAAUUAA